RNAcentral lists this ribosomal RNA (469 nucleotides) under uncultured bacterium. RNAcentral's name for it is "partial 16S ribosomal RNA". It matches the Rfam family "Bacterial small subunit ribosomal RNA", at positions 28 to 508 of the family's 1533-position model. The record is from RNAcentral.
GACGAACGCUGGCGGCGUGCUUAACACAUGCAAGUCGAACGGAAAGGCCCUGCUUUUGUGGGGUGCUCGAGUGGCGAACGGGUGAGUAACACGUGAGUAACCUGCCCUUGACUUUGGGAUAACUUCAGGAAACUGGGGCUAAUACCGGAUAGGAGCUCCUGCUGCAUGGUGGGGGUUGGAAAGUUUCGGCGGUUGGGGAUGGACUCGCGGCUUAUCAGCUUGAUGGUGGGGUAGUGGCUUACCAAGGCUUUGACGGGUAGCCGGCCUGAGAGGGUGACCGGCCACAUUGGGACUGAGAUACGGCCCAGACUCCUACGGGAGGCAGCAGUGGGGAAUAUUGCACAAUGGGCGGAAGCCUGAUGCAGCAACGCCGCGUGCGGGAUGACGGCCUUCGGGUUGUAAACCGCUUUCGCCUGUGACGAAGCGUGAGUGACGGUAAUGGGUAAAGAAGCACCGGCUAACUACGUGC